UACGAAGGUGGCAAGCGUUGUGCGGAUUUACUGGGCGUAAAGAGACCGUAGGCGGAGGGGUAAGUCCUGUGUGAAAGCUCUCGGCUCAACCGAGAAAGGCCGCAGGAAACUGCCUCACUAGGGGACGGGAGAGGAGCGCGGAAUUCCUGGUGUAGCGGUGAAAUGCGUAGAGAUCGGGAGGAAGGCCGGUGGCGAAGGCGGCGCUCUGGAACGUACCUGACGCUGAGGGUCGAAAGCGGGGGGAGCAAACAGG
RNAcentral lists this unclassified non-coding RNA (253 nucleotides) under uncultured Nitrospira sp. Its description in RNAcentral is "contains 16S-23S intergenic spacer region". It matches the Rfam family "Bacterial small subunit ribosomal RNA", at positions 524 to 776 of the family's 1533-position model. The record is from RNAcentral. Lineage: Bacteria; Pseudomonadati; Nitrospirota; Nitrospiria; Nitrospirales; Nitrospiraceae.